UACCAGCACCCCGAGUGGUCGGGACGAUUAUUGGGCCUAAAGCAUCCGUAGCCGGUCCUACAAGUCUUCCGUUAAAUCCACCUGCUUAACAGAUGGGCUGCGGAAGAUACUAUAGGGCUAGGAGGCGGGAGAGGCAAGCGGUACUCAGUGGGUAGGGGUAAAAUCCUCUGAUCCAUUGAAGACCACCAGUGACGAAGGCGGCUUGCCAGAACGCGCUCGACGGUGAGGGAUGAAAGCUGGGGGAGCAAACCGG
RNAcentral lists this ribosomal RNA (253 nucleotides) under uncultured bacterium. RNAcentral's name for it is "partial 16S ribosomal RNA". It matches the Rfam family "Archaeal small subunit ribosomal RNA", at positions 474 to 727 of the family's 1478-position model. The record is from RNAcentral.